This 253-nucleotide ribosomal RNA is filed under the name uncultured bacterium. Its description in RNAcentral is "partial 16S ribosomal RNA". It matches the Rfam family "Bacterial small subunit ribosomal RNA", at positions 524 to 776 of the family's 1533-position model. The record is from RNAcentral.
GACGAAGGAUCCAAGCGUUAUCCGGAUUCAUUGGGUUUAAAGGGAGCGUAGGCGGGUUUAUAAGUCAGUGGUGAAAGCCGAUCGCUUAACGAUCGAACUGCCAUUGAUACUGUAGACCUAGAGUACAGAUGAUGUUGGCGGAAUAUGACAUGUAGCGGUGAAAUGCAUAGAUAUGUCAUAGAACACCGAUUGCGAAGGCAGCUGACAAAACUGUAACUGACGCUGAGGCUCGAAAGCCAGGGGAGCAAACGGG